This is a long non-coding RNA of Erythranthe guttata (spotted monkey flower), 1976 nucleotides long. RefSeq lists it as uncharacterized. NCBI's taxonomy places the organism in Eukaryota, Viridiplantae, Streptophyta, Magnoliopsida, Lamiales, Phrymaceae. The record is from RefSeq and is a predicted model, not a curated record.
GAGAAUAUAAUUGAAAAGGAAAGCGCUAUGAAAAAAGUGACUGAUCAGUCUAAAGAUGAUGAAAUCAUCAUGCAAGAGGCUAACGAAAAAGACCUCAUCUGUGAAGAGAUCUUGUAGCAACCCUUAAUUUUUAUAAUGUGGUAUAAUAAUAGUUUAUACAUGUAUAUUAUUGAAGUUUAUUCAUUAAUAAGAGUAAUAUAGUAAUAUAGUGAGAUUUAGGUGGCUGAAGUGUUAUUAAUAGAUAAAUUUGGGGUACAAGUACAAAUAUAAAUAAUAAAAUUAGAAACUUACCAACCAAGAAAAUGACGUGGGUUCAUUUAUCAGAUAAUUGAGAAGGGAGAUUUUGUUUAUUUCGAAAAUUGAGAGAGAGUCGCGUGUCUCGAGGUGUAGAGUCAUCAGCGUCUUCUUUCUCCGAUAAAUACCUCGUCAUCUCGUCUCAAAUUCAUUCAUCACUCCCAUUCUUACUCAGCAUAUAAACGACACACCACCCAGAAAUUCAAGAGAUUGAAUAUCAAAAACCAUAGAAAGAUAUCAAGAAGUAAGAAGAAGCUAAGGUUCAAUCAACGGAGAUAAGAUGGUGACUUGACGAUCCUUUCGGUGGAGUUCAAGCGAGCGGGGUAUAGCGUUAGAAAGCCCGCUGUAGAAGCUAUAAUUCGGUGGAAAUUUCUACCCAUUUGAUUUGGUGACGAUUGCUCGAUUUUGUCAAAGAUAUUCAGCCUACUGUUAAUCUCAUAAUCCGAUUUGAGGUGUUGAGAUUGAGGAACCGUAACAGACGAGUGAUAUUGAUUGGACGAAGGUGAGGGUUCACUUGCUUGACCUUUUUCUGGGAAUAUGGUAGGCUCGGGUAAUUCUAUCACUCGAGUGCCUGACUUUUGCUCUUCUUUGUAAUAUUGAUUUAUUCGUCAUUGUUGUUUGAAUAUCGUUAUUUAAAAUUAAUUCGAUUAUGCCGAGCUUCAGAUUAUUUGAGAAAUGCUAUCUUAUCGAGAGUUCAACUCUUCGAUUUCCAUUUUUCUUUCGAAUAAGAAUUAUUGAAUGAUCGGUAUGAAAUCUUUGAAGCCGAUCGUCUUCCUUCAAUUUCUAUUCAUGAUCUAAAGCUGAGAUCUUGAAAGAUCAAGUCGUUCUUUGAACCUUUCACUUGAUCCCAUUUCUUUGGAAUUCUAUUGUCUUUGAAAUUCUGAAAUAAUCAGAAUAAUAUGGUCUUCUUAUAUGAUCGAUAAAGUCAUUUUGGGACGCCUAAGGACAAUGGAUAUUGAUGGGCGACCCGAGGCUGUUUGGAGGUGACCGUUGGGCGGUAUCGGGCCGGCGAUGGGUAGUCUCUCCAACAGUACCCACAUAGGUUUAGACCCGUACACAACUGAAGGUUAGUUGGGUUUCGGGCUAAACCGGCAUGCGCCUGGGCAUGCCACGUUGCAUUACAUGGUCAUUCCCUGCUCGGUGAAUAAGGUAGUAAACGGCUACGGGAGUCACAAGGUAGGUGUAUUCUUAUUUCUAUUGAUUGGAAAAUCGAUUAAUCAUUCUUAUUGUUAUUCUUGAAUUUCCAAUUGAAAUAUAAUCUUUAAAAACGCUUCUAUUUUCCUAUAUCACCUAAUGGUCUGAUCAUCGAACUUUCUCUCAGAUAAUGUUAUAACUCAUCAUUCUUAUAUUUCACCUCACUAAGUCUUCUAUGAAUUAUGCUCUACUUUAUUCUGUCAUAUUCUCAUACACAUGUGCAAGCUUGAAUGAAUCAGAGGAUUUUCCGUCCGAGUAGCUACCUUUUUUUAUAUUUGUAAAAUAGUGGUUCGAUUAAGUUAAGAAUAAUCGCUGUCUUGUAUUAUAAAUAUCAGUGUUUGAACUUACUUAUGUUAUAGUAUUGUAAUCAAAUAAGUUAGAAGUUGUUAUAACAGUUCGGAACCCUUGUACUUUACCUUGCUAGACGUAAGGUUUUUAAUAAAUAAAUCGUACGUAAUUUUGUGAGCUAUAGAUUGAAUUAGUAUUAU